RNAcentral lists this ribosomal RNA (468 nucleotides) under uncultured bacterium. RNAcentral's name for it is "partial 16S ribosomal RNA". It matches the Rfam family "Bacterial small subunit ribosomal RNA", at positions 28 to 507 of the family's 1533-position model. The record is from RNAcentral.
GACGAACGCUGGCGGCGUGCUUAACACAUGCAAGUCGAACGGAAAGGCCCUGCUUUUGUGGGGUGCUCGAGUGGCGAACGGGUGAGUAACACGUGAGUAACCUGCCCUUGACUUUGGGAUAACUUCAGGAAACUGGGGCUAAUACCGGAUAGGAGCUCCUGCUGCAUGGUGGGGGUUGGAAAGUUUCGGCGGUUGGGGAUGGACUCGCGGCUUAUCCGCUUGUUGGUGGGGUAGUGGCUUACCAAGGCUUUGACGGGUAGCCGGCCUGAGAGGGUGACCGGCCACAUUGGGACUGAGAGACGGCCCAGACUCCUACGGGAGGCAGCAGUGGGGAAUAUUGCACAAUGGGCGGAAGCCUGAUGCAGCAACGCCGCGUGCGGGAUGACGGCCUUCGGGUUGUAAACCGCUUUCGCCUGUGACGAAGCGUGAGUGACGGUAAUGGGUAAAGAAGCACCGGCUAACUACGUG